Molecule: ribosomal RNA, 385 nt
Filed under: prasinophyte sp.
Lineage: Eukaryota; Viridiplantae; Chlorophyta
Description: partial small subunit ribosomal RNA
Rfam family: Eukaryotic small subunit ribosomal RNA
Source: RNAcentral
AUUCCAGCUCCAAUAGCGUAUAUUUAAGUUGUUGCAGUUAAAAAGCUCGUAGUUGGAUUUCGGGCCCAGGUGACCGGUCCGCCGUUUCGGUGUGCACUGGUUAGCUCGGUCUUUCUGCCGGGGACACGCUCCGUCUUAAUUGCCGGACGUGGAGUCGGCGAUGUUACUUUGAAAAAAUUAGAGUGUUCAAAGCAGGCUUACGCUCUGAAUACUAUAGCAUGGAAUAACACGAUAGGACUCCGGGCCUAUUUUGUUGGUCUUCGGGACCGGAGUAAUGAUUAAGAGGGACAGUUGGGGGCAUUCGUAUUACGGUGUCAGAGGUGAAAUUCUUGGAUUUCCGUAAGACGAACUUCUGCGAAAGCAUUUGCCAAGGAUGUUUUCAUCA